CGCGGAGGUAGGUCACGACGGUGCGCAUGCGCAAACAGCACAUCCGGUGUGGUCGACGGGUCCUCUAGGAGUUUUGGGCGCGCGGACUGGAGUACCUUGCGUGUAGUUAUGUCGGCGUCGGUAGUGUCUGUCAUUUCGCGGUUCUUAGAAGAGUACUUGAGCUCCACUCCGCAGCGUCUGAAGUUGCUGGACGCGUACCUGCUGUAUAUACUGCUGACCGGGGCGCUGCAAUUCGGUUACUGUCUCCUCGUGGGAACCUUCCCCUUCAACUCUUUUCUCUCGGGCUUCAUCUCUUGUGUGGGGAGUUUCAUCCUAGCGGUUUGCCUGAGAAUACAGAUCAACCCACAGAACAAAGCGGACUUCCAAGGCAUCUCCCCAGAGCGAGCCUUUGCUGAUUUUCUCUUUGCCAGCACCAUCCUGCACCUUGUUGUCAUGAACUUUGUUGGCUGAAUCAUUCCCAUUUACGUAAUUGAGGAGUAGGAGACUAAAAGAAUGUGAAAUAGACUGAAGUCACGCUAACUUUUCUCAGUUCACUCUUUGAAUUUCCUGGAUAAGAGUUCUGGAGCUGGCAGCUUGUUGGACACAUGGAUUUUCUUCAGAUUUGCACUUACUGCUAGCUCUGAUUUUUAUGCAAGAGAAAAGCCCAGAGUUCACUCUGUGUCAGAACAACUUUCUAACAAACAUUUAUUAAUCCAACCUGCCUUUCAUUAAAUGUAACCUUUUGCCUUCCUAAUUAAAGAACUCCAUGCCACUCCUC
RNA transcript from Chlorocebus sabaeus (green monkey), 757 nucleotides. It is a transcript of the gene named defender against cell death 1, with no coding region annotated. The record is from RefSeq and is a predicted model, not a curated record. Lineage: Eukaryota; Metazoa; Chordata; Mammalia; Primates; Cercopithecidae.